RNAcentral lists this ribosomal RNA (472 nucleotides) under uncultured bacterium. Its description in RNAcentral is "bacterial SSU rRNA". It matches the Rfam family "Bacterial small subunit ribosomal RNA", at positions 355 to 825 of the family's 1533-position model. The record is from RNAcentral.
UGGGGAAUUUUGGACAAUGGGGGCAACCCUGAUCCAGCAAUGCCGCGUGAGUGAAGAAGGCCUUCGGGUUGUAAAGCUCUUUUGUCAGGGAAGAAACGGUAGUAGCGAAUAACUAUUACUAAUGACGGUACCUGAAGAAUAAGCACCGGCUAACUACGUGCCAGCAGCCGCGGUAAUACGUAGGGUGCAAGCGUUAAUCGGAAUUACUGGGCGUAAAGCGUGCGCAGGCGGUUGUGUAAGUCAGAUGUGAAAUCCCCGGGCUCAACCUGGGAAUUGCAUUUGAGACUGCACGGCUAGAGUGUGUCAGAGGGGGGUAGAAUUCCACGUGUAGCAGUGAAAUGCGUAGAUAUGUGGAGGAAUACCGAUGGCGAAGGCAGCCCCCUGGGAUAACACUGACGCUCAUGCACGAAAGCGUGGGGAGCAAACAGGAUUAGAUACCCUUGUAGUCCCUGAGCGGGCUGGCAAGGCGCAU